Molecule: ribosomal RNA, 411 nt
Filed under: uncultured bacterium
Lineage: Bacteria
Description: partial 16S ribosomal RNA
Rfam family: Bacterial small subunit ribosomal RNA
Source: RNAcentral
UGAGGAAUAUUGGACAAUGGGUGAGAGCCUGAUCCAGCCAUCCCGCGUGAAGGAUGACGGUCCUAUGGAUUGUAAACUUCUUUUGUACAGGGAUAAACCUACUCUCGUGAGGGUAGCUGAAGGUACUGUACGAAUAAGCACCGGCUAACUCCGUGCCAGCAGCCGCGGUAAUACGGAGGGUGCAAGCGUUAUCCGGAUUUAUUGGGUUUAAAGGGUCCGUAGGCGGAUUUGUAAGUCAGUGGUGAAAUCUCAUAGCUUAACUAUGAAACUGCCAUUGAUACUGCAGGUCUUGAGUAAAUUUGAAGUGGCUGGAAUAAGUAGUGUAGCGGUGAAAUGCAUAGAUAUUACUUAGAACACCAAUUGCGAAGGCAGGUCACUAAGAUUUAACUGACGCUGAUGGACGAAAGCGUG